UAGGGGUGUUGAGAGAAAAACAAUUUGCAAUAAGUUGGUUGUAUUCGGAAGCCGAAGGGAAUGUAAAAUUAAUGUAAUGGAUUGUUGUGAGCUGAAUGCUUGUAAUAGUUAGUACUUUAUAUUUUUGGUAUCUUUCUUAUGCAUUCAGUAUGUGAAAUCUGUUCAUGGUUGGAACCUCGUGAUUUGUACUGUUGCGACGCCUUGGACGUACAGAAAAAACUUUGUCCGUU
This 230-nucleotide long non-coding RNA is filed under the name Ananas comosus (pineapple). Its description in RNAcentral is "long non-coding RNA (ACOM_LNC003465)". Lineage: Eukaryota; Viridiplantae; Streptophyta; Magnoliopsida; Poales; Bromeliaceae. The record is from RNAcentral.